Molecule: ribosomal RNA, 503 nt
Filed under: uncultured bacterium
Lineage: Bacteria
Description: partial 16S ribosomal RNA
Rfam family: Bacterial small subunit ribosomal RNA
Source: RNAcentral
GACGAACGCUGGCGGCGUGCUUAACACAUGCAAGUCGAACGGUGAAGCGCUUUCCUUUUUGGUUGGUGUGGAUGAGUGGCGAACGGGUGAGUAACACGUGAGUAACCUGCCCCCUUCUUCUGGAUAACCGCAUGAAAGUGUGGCUAAUACGGGAUAUUCUGCGCCUGCUGCAUGGUGGGUGUGGGAAAGAUUGUGCCUUUGGGUGUUUUCGGUGGGGGAUGGGCUCGCGGCCUAUCAGCUUGUUGGUGGGGGGAUGGCCUACCAAGGCGGUGACGGGUAGCCGGCCUGAGAGGGUGGACGGUCACACUGGGACUGCGACACGGCCCAGACUCCUACGGGAGGGAGCAGUGGGGAAUAUUGCACAAUGGGCGCAAGCCUGAUGCAGCGACGCCGCGUGAGGGAGGGAGGCCUUCGGGUUGUGAACCUCUUUCGCCAGUGAAGCAGGCCUGCUCAUUGUGGGUGGGUUGACGGUAGCUGGAUAAGAAGCACCGGCUAACUACGUG